GAAUCUUGCGCAAUGGAGGAAACUCUGACGCAGCCACGCCGCGUGCCGGAAGACGGCCCUAUGGGUUGUAAACGGCUUUUAUUUGGGAAGAACCUGGGAGAUUUGUCUCCCACUGACGGUACCAAUUGAACAACCCCCGGCUAACCCCGGGCCAGCAGCCGCGGUAAUACGGAGGGUGCAAGCGUUGUCCGGAAUCAUUGGGUGUAAAGGGUGCGCAGGCUGGCGCCUAAGUCGGAGGUGAAAUCUUGCCGCUUAACGGUAAAAUUGCCCCCGAUACUGGGUGUCUUGAAUCUGACAGAGGUCGGUGGAAUUCGUGGUGUAGCGGUGAAAUGCAUAGAUAUCACGAAGAACAUCAGUGGCGAAGGCGGCCGGCUGGGUCAGUAUUGACGCUGAGGCACGAGAGCGUGGGGAGCGAACAGG
RNAcentral lists this ribosomal RNA (420 nucleotides) under uncultured bacterium. Its description in RNAcentral is "bacterial SSU rRNA". It matches the Rfam family "Bacterial small subunit ribosomal RNA", at positions 359 to 776 of the family's 1533-position model. The record is from RNAcentral.